GGCACAUUGACUUAUGAGGCGGUAAGUAGAGAAAUUCUUGACAUUUCUUGUGUUUGUAUCUAACCUAUUCUAUGAGCCUUGCAUUUAUAGUUUUAUGGCCUUGAUGUAGUUCCUUGAGCUGAUUAAUAAUUUUUGCUGAGUAUUUUUAAGCUAUUAUACUCUCAGACUAUUUCAUGUUUACAUGUCUUUGAUAUCUUUUAAUAGAUUUGAUUACACAUUUGCAUUACAAUCUAACUUGCUAGACAUAAAAUUUGACCUUAAAAUAUAUGUUACCAAUUUCUUGGGCAAAUACUUUAGUGAGGUGUUCUGCUGACCAUUUUGAAUUUAAUCAUUUAGGUGAUUCACUUGUGUUCAGAUUCAGAUGUAUGCUUUUAUAAGUUGAUGAUGUGAUCUAGUGAUGUAUGCACAGGC
Molecule: unclassified non-coding RNA, 411 nt
Filed under: Hevea brasiliensis (rubber tree)
Lineage: Eukaryota; Viridiplantae; Streptophyta; Magnoliopsida; Malpighiales; Euphorbiaceae
Source: RNAcentral